Molecule: long non-coding RNA, 845 nt
Filed under: Musa acuminata (dwarf banana)
Lineage: Eukaryota; Viridiplantae; Streptophyta; Magnoliopsida; Zingiberales; Musaceae
Description: long non-coding RNA (MACU_LNC002436)
Source: RNAcentral
UCCUUCCUCUGCUCUCUUUCAUCCUCGACAAGCACCUCUUGCCCUCUGCCAAUGGCAUCAUCCAAGAACAAAGCCAUCAUCUUUCUCUUGCUCCUCCUAUUCGCUUUCCAUCUAUCCGCCGCGAGGCCUAUCGGACGGCCGAACUCCACCGACGAACUUCCGGUCGCCCUGUCUCUGUCAACUGCACGCCCAUGUCACUCGGCGAUGAUUCCCGCGAAGCAGCAGGGCGCGGAGAGGUACGGGCGCCUCUUCUUCACCAUGCUUCCCAGAGGAAAGACGCCGCCUUCUGGUCCAAGCAAUGGAAUCAAUGGCAGCAAGAAUUAGAUGGAAGGAGGACUCCACUUGAAGCUCUUCUCCUGUUUCUGCUUACAGCAUAUACACAUACACACAUACAAAUCAUUCUACACGUAUCCUCAGUUAUGUAAAAGUAUUUGUCAAGCAUGUAAAUACCAUAGCAAAAGAAAAGGAUAGCUACCUUUCUGGUUGUAUCAGUAUUCUAACAGGUUCGUUUAUAAUGCGAUAUUUUGAUUCAUGAAUGAAUUUGAGUUGCAGACUGGUCAACUUUUACAUUUCUUUUGUUCAUUGUACUUCCUAUAUAUGUGUAGUUAUGAUAGUUGGUGGAAAUAGGAUCAUUGAUGUUGGAACAAAGAGAAGCAGAAUCGAGCAUUGAGAUGAAGUUAAAAUUGACAUUGUAGAGCAUGAACAAUUGGAACCAGCCAGCCCAGGGGAGGACCAUUCAGGGAAGGCAGUGAGAGGAUCGAUGUGACCUACAUGGGGAAUUAGGUGGCCAAUCUCAUGCUGCUGUCGAGUUACCCUCCUCAUAACUUUGGUCAACAUGUGUUUGG